CGCGUAAAAAUUAAACUGGCUCCAAAAUUUUGCCACAAAAACACGUUCCUUCCCAUCACCCCAGAGAUUUCAACUGCUCACAACUCUCAACUCACACUCUCUUCGGUUCACGGUGGUUCAGCGGUGGCAUCUUCUUCAGUUUUUCCCGGUGAUUUGUGAUUUCCGACGAGAUAUUGGACGUUUCUCAGGCGGUGAUGUGGGUGGCUGCCGGAGAUCAACGGUGAGGCUAGCGGCGAUUUCAGCGGCAAGAUAGGCAUAAAAGUAAGGAUGGGACUACUUGUUGGGAACCGAUUGCUGAAAAACAAUAUGAAGAAUUGAAAAAACUUCAUGAAACUCACAUUCAGGAGCAUGGUGAGGAUAAUCUCAAUGUGAAAGAUGCUUACAUUAAAGCUUUAAAAUGUAAAUCUGGGUAUGUGAGAGGACUUGGUCUUGGAGCUCGACCACCAAAAAAAGGUAGAACUGGAGAGAACAAUGAACGAGUUGUCUACCCAAGUUGACACUCUUGCUGCAUCAAACGAGGAACUUAGAGCAUCAAAUGAACAUCUAAAAGCAUCUAAUGAAGAGCUUAAAGCAUCUAAUGAAGAGUUCAAGGCAUCCAAUGAAGAGCUUAGAGCUGAAUUUUCUAAAUUGAACAAAAAAGCUAUUGAAUGUGAAAAGAAAAUGAGAGAAGAUAUGCUGAAAAUGUUUG
This is a long non-coding RNA of Beta vulgaris subsp. vulgaris (sugar beet), 688 nucleotides long. RefSeq lists it as uncharacterized. The transcript is spliced from 3 exons. NCBI's taxonomy places the organism in Eukaryota, Viridiplantae, Streptophyta, Magnoliopsida, Caryophyllales, Amaranthaceae. The record is from RefSeq and is a predicted model, not a curated record.